This 408-nucleotide ribosomal RNA is filed under the name uncultured bacterium. RNAcentral describes it as "partial 16S ribosomal RNA". It matches the Rfam family "Bacterial small subunit ribosomal RNA", at positions 28 to 526 of the family's 1533-position model. The record is from RNAcentral.
GACGAACGCUGGCGGCGUGCUUAACACAUGCAAGUCGAACGAAGUGGCGAACGGGUGAGUAACGCGUAAUCAACCUGCCCUUCAGAGGGGGACAACAGUUGGAAACGACUGCUAAUACCGCAUACUGAAGGAGGGGAGUGCGUCUGAGUCGCUGGUUGGAGGGGUAACGGCCCACCACGGCGAUGAUCAGUAGCCGGUCUGAGAGGAUGAACGGCCAAAAUGGGAAUGGGAACAGGCCCAGACUCCUACGGGGGGCAGCAGUGGGGAAUCUUCCGCAAUGGAGGGAAGGCUGACGGAGCAACGCCGCGGGAGUGAUGACGGCCUUCGGGUUGUAAAGGUCUGUUAAUCGGGACGCGGUACCGGAAUAGAAAGCCACGGCUAACUACGUGCCAGCAGCCGCGGUAAUUC